UUAAACACGAUGACUGGGAAUAGUAGGCCUUAUUUUGGUUCGAGAGAGUUGGUGGUUGGUGUGAACCAAUACCAAAAGAGGUUGAAUCCGCCUAGGAGUGAUUAGUGAAUUCAAGCUAAAUCGGUAAUGACACCGUUAUCUGUCAUAAGAGUGGGUUGCUAUAAAGACCAAUUAGGGUGGCACCACGGGAAGAUAAUUAUCUCUCGCCCCUAAC
This 214-nucleotide non-coding RNA is filed under the name Halobacteroidaceae bacterium. Its description in RNAcentral is "T-box sequence". It matches the Rfam family "T-box leader". From Rfam's summary of the family: Uncharged tRNA acts as the effector for transcription antitermination of genes in the T-box leader family. T-boxes are found upstream of many aminoacyl-tRNA synthetase genes and some amino acid biosynthetic genes usually in Gram-positive bacteria. The anticodon of a specific tRNA base pairs to a specifier sequence within the T-box motif, and the NCCA acceptor tail of the tRNA base pairs to a conserved bulge in the T-box antiterminator hairpin. The record is from RNAcentral. Lineage: Bacteria; Bacillati; Bacillota; Clostridia; Halanaerobiales; Halobacteroidaceae.